AUACAGGUUGAACAUUUGUUCGAUUGACAGUAUUUUCUUUUAAAAUUUACAUUCGUUUAUAUUUUCCAGGGGAAUAAAGAGCUAAAAUAAAAAUUAUGAUUUGUUUUGCUGGAACAACAACGUAUUUGUUGUGAAGAUGAAGAUAAAGCAUCAACAUCCUCUGGCGUCUUAAAAGUGUUAAAAAUCCAAGUGCUCAUUGUACGUCAUAGAUUUUUAAUGUGCUUCUAAAUGCAUCAUCGAGCAGCCUUGAUCCAUUUAGAUAAAGUGUCUAGUUUGGGAUCAUCUCACUCGCACUUUUCGUCAUUUUCUUGCAAAGUCCAAAACUGCGUCCAUUCGUAACCUGAAAUUCUUCGUAUUUUGUUGAUGGGCCAGAGAAUUCUAUAUUUUGUACCUUUGGAUUACAACUCAUUUAGAUGUUCAUUGUUUACAAAGCCUUUUUCUCCUAGAAAAAAGAUGAAAGUUGAGGUUUGUGUGAUGUUUAGGAAUCUGAUCUAAAAAAUGGUUAUCAUCCUUUGUUGUGUUAUUACCAAAGGAGAGAAGAACGGAUUUGUGAUUUCUAAAUCCCAUCUUUUAUGAAUGAUGUAUAUGUGAUGGAUAUAUGUGAGAUUCGAAGUUUUGCUGUGAAUUCCAAUUCUUUAGUGAAUCAUAUGAAAAUGGUAAUAUUUCAGACUUUUUUUGGUGGAACAACAUAUUAUUUGUCGCGUAGAUGAGGCAUCCACAUCCUCUGGCGUCUUAAAAGUGUUAAAAACCCGCGUGUUCAUUGUACAUCGUAGAUUUUCAAUGUGCUUCUGAAUGCAUCACCGAUCAGCUUUAAUCCCUUUAGAUAAAGUGUCCAGUUUUUGACCAUCUGACUCGCACUUUACGAAUUUUCUUGCAUAGUCCACAACUUCAUCCAUUCAUUACAUGAAAUUCUUCUUUUAAUUGAUGGGCAAAGGAAUUCUGUAUUUUGGAACUUUGGAUUACAACUCUCUUAGAAGUUCAUUGUUUACAAUGCCUUUGUCUACUUAUUGAAGGUUAUUUUGAGUAGUACACGCAGGCCGUGUUUUCUUUGAGGAAAAGUCCGUGUGGCGUAAGUAUUCUCAAAACUUCAACUAAAUUUAUUACGUUGUUAUUUUUGAAAAUAAAUGUUUACAUGUAGUUUAAAUUAGGUUUUGACUACAUGCAGUCGAUAGUCAAUGUAGACCUUGUGGGAGUUAAUCGUACAUAAAACAGGAUAUUAAGAGUGUGGAUUUUAUCACUGAAUAUUUAAAGAAGUUACAUAUAUUGAAUAAAAAUUAUUAUCUUUAUGUAAAAAAAAAAAAAAAAAUCUCAAUAAUAAAUGCUUGCAUGAUUAACUUUAAAUAGUUUUUGUUGACCAUUUGAUUUUCAGUCAGAGGGGGAUUUUUUGCUGAUGGAAUAUUUAUUUUACACCUGUUUUACAGGGCUUAUUUAUUUAGUGCGAACAAUAAUUUUCAAGCUUGGAACACAAUUAUUUCUUGCAAUGUCCUGCCUAAAAUAGCACAAACUAUUCAAAACAGGUUUUUAAAUAAAUAUUCUGGACUUGCGCAGUCAAGAAUGUUCAUUUCUAAAAUUACCCAUGGUGACUGGUGACUAGAAAUAUGGUCUCUUGGGAUUCCCUAAAGGUACCGACCAUUUAUUUUCGUGGGACAAACAGUUUUUUUAUGACUUUAAAAAAACAACUUUUUUUUAUAAUAACAUAUAUAGGAAAAAAUUUUAAACUCCAUUAUGAAUCCCCUUGCCCUUCAUUUUCAAUGGAAUCAAACAAUUUUUCACAAUUCACUCCAGUUUUCCCUCAAAAUAUUGGAGUUCCAACAAUGUAUCUUAUAUAUGUAUCUAUAUUAUUUAUGCGACUGUCAUACAAGUGAGAGAUUUAGCUAGCUAUAAAACCAGGUUUAAUCCACCAUUUUCUACAUAAGAAAAUGCCUGUACCAAGUCAGGAAUAUAACAGUUGUUAUCCAUUCGUUUAAUGUGUUUGAGCUUUUGAAUUUGCCAUUUGCUUAGGGACUUUCCGUUUAGAAUCAGCGUUCAGUAUUUUGUUAUUUUUCUUUUAACUUGUGUUAACAAUUAUCAUGUACAGGUAAUCAACACCAACGUACAGAUGAGAACAAAUUUUAUGUGAAACCAAUGUUCAUUACAUGAAACUUAUUAUAAACAGGUUUACAGUACGCGAUGUUUUGGUGUGAACACGGUCUUACAUUGGAUCUUUUUUGUCUAGGACAUAUAAUAUAAUUAUUUUAUAUUUAGACGGACGUAGUGAGGGAGAAUAUAAUAGGCAAUCAAGUCCCCGUUUAAGAAUCUAAUGCCUUCUUGGUACUUCAUGUCGUACACCAAAACAUUGCAAUAUGUUGUUAACGUCAUAAACAACGGAAGGUGAAUUAAUUGAUUGACGUUAUUUCAAUUUUGGGGUAACAACAAUGAAAUUAUCCAUAGUCCUUUGUAUUUUGAAACGGUGAAUUGUAAAAUGGUUUAAGAAAAUAAAAGUCACUGAAUUUUGUGCAACGGAUAAAAAUAUUGAAAAGCUUGAUACAUAAAACGAAAAACCAUACGUAUUCUUUUCAGAUUACUGUUGUAUUUAUCAAAGAAAAAAGAAAUUCUUUAUUUCUUCAACAGAAAAAAGAUAAAUAAAAGUU
Molecule: long non-coding RNA, 2630 nt
Organism: Mytilus californianus (California mussel)
Lineage: Eukaryota; Metazoa; Mollusca; Bivalvia; Mytilida; Mytilidae
Exons: 5
Source: RefSeq, a predicted model, not a curated record